Molecule: ribosomal RNA, 460 nt
Filed under: uncultured bacterium
Lineage: Bacteria
Description: partial 16S ribosomal RNA
Rfam family: Bacterial small subunit ribosomal RNA
Source: RNAcentral
CCUACGGGAGGCAGCAGUGGGGAAUAUUGGUCAAUGGGCGAGAGCCUGAACCAGCCAAGCCGCGUGAAGGAUGAAGGAUCUAUGGUUUGUAAACUUCUUUUAUAUGGGAGUAAAGUGAGGAACGUGUUCCUUUUUGUAUGUACCAUAUGAAUAAGCAUCAGCUACCUCCGUGCCAGCAGCCGCGGUAAUACGGAGGAUGCGAGCGUUAUCCGGAUUUGUUGGGUGUAAAGGGCGCGUAGGUGGUAAAGUAAGUCAGCGGUGAAAGUUUGGGGCUCAACCAUAAAAUUGCAGUUGAAACUGGUUGACUUGAGUACAGGUGAGGUAGGCGGAAUGCGUGGUGUAGCGGUGAAAUGCAUAGAUAUCACGCAGAACUCCGAUGGCGAAGGCAGCUUACUAAACUAUAACUGACACUGAAGCACGAAAGCGUGGGGAUCAAACAGGAUUAGAUACCCGUGUAGUC